Molecule: non-coding RNA, 688 nt
Organism: Nomia melanderi (Alkali bee)
Lineage: Eukaryota; Metazoa; Arthropoda; Insecta; Hymenoptera; Halictidae
Source: RefSeq, a predicted model, not a curated record
GCCCGGCUUCGUCGGCAGUUAUCGGCGAACCGCGAAUCUGUCCUCGUCGUGUGUCACUGGAACAGCCCGCGCCGCGUGUACCGAGCACCGGCGAGAUGUAACAUCGCCAGCGGUAGUUGGACAAGUAGACGGCUGGAGAUAGAUUAGAUAGGACAAAGGUGACCACCCCGGGAGAACCUUUCGGAACUGCUGAUCCACAAGCCCUCGGAGACGCGUCCACCUGGUGCAUCCUUGGAUACUGGCCUCGAGGCAGUGUGUGUGUGCUUUUUCUUGCCGGGUUUCCUUGGUUUUUUCUUGGUUACUUUAGCACGAGUUUUUUGGUGAGCAGCAGGUCCCCGAGGAACUACGGUCGCUAUGCAACGCGCUGCUAGUGGAGGUGGCUGCAAGAUAUGCUAUGGGUCCCUGUGCACUCGAACUUUGCAUCAGGACUGUUAAGCAGGAGCAACCAGGAGGAACCGAUGCACGUCGUGCUCCCUCGAAACAUUAACACUCACCCCCGGGCGACCCAUUGAACGUUCGGCAAAAAUAGUUUGCCACCUCGUGUAUACAAUGCGGUGAUUCGCGGAAGGGAAGUGCAUCUCGACAGAAUUUCAGUGCAGUGCUACAAGUGAUCCGAAGAUGAAGUGGCCACUGGUGGUGACUAGCUUCCUGCUGUCGCUCUCGUGCAUCCUGGAUGCAUCGCAUGCCG